ACUUCCUUGGCAGAAUAGUGCAUUAAAUUUAGAAUUUAAAAUAUAUAUAUUUAUAAAUUAUAGGUAGUA
Molecule: transfer RNA, 69 nt
Filed under: Andrena labiata
Lineage: Eukaryota; Metazoa; Arthropoda; Insecta; Hymenoptera; Andrenidae
Description: tRNA-Leu
Source: RNAcentral